GAUGAACGCUGGCGGCGUGCCUAAUACAUGCAAGUCGAGCGAACAGACGAGGAGCUUGCUCCUCUGACGUUAGCGGCGGACGGGUGAGUAACACGUGUAUAACCUACCUAUCAGACUGGUAUAACUUCGGGAAACCGGAGCUAAUACCGGAUAAUAUAUUGAACCGCAUGGUUCAAUAGUGAAAGACGGUUUUGCGGUCACUUCUAGAUGGAUCCGCGCCGCAUUAGCUAGUUGGUAAGGUAACGGCUUACCAAGGCAACGAUGCGUAGCCGACCUGAGAGGGUGAUCGGCCCCACUGGAACGGAGACACGGUCCAGACUCCUACGGGAGGCAGCAGUAGGGAAUCGUCCGCAAUGGGCGAAAGCCUGACGGAGCAACGCCGCGUGAGUGAUGAAGGUCUUCGGAUCGUAAAACUCUGUUAUUAGGGAAGAACAAAUGUGUAAGUAACUAUGCACGUCUUGACGGUACCUAAUCAGAAAGCCACGGCUAACUACGUG
Molecule: ribosomal RNA, 497 nt
Filed under: uncultured bacterium
Lineage: Bacteria
Description: partial 16S ribosomal RNA
Rfam family: Bacterial small subunit ribosomal RNA
Source: RNAcentral